UGGCCCAGUGAUGACAAGUAUCGCGCUAAGAGGGACCAUGUUGCUAAAUGUACAGAAAUGAUCUCUUGACUUUUCUUUCUCUUUCUUCUAUUUAUUUUUCUUGUCUCACUUUUGUCUUGAUCUUUUUCUCAUUUCUGCACCUUAGUGAACACAUGACCCUAUGAACAAAAAGAUUAUGAGAUCUGAGGGCCA
Small nucleolar RNA from Protobothrops mucrosquamatus (brown spotted pit viper), 192 nucleotides. RefSeq annotates it as small nucleolar RNA SNORD97. The transcript has a single exon. Lineage: Eukaryota; Metazoa; Chordata; Lepidosauria; Squamata; Viperidae. The record is from RefSeq and is a predicted model, not a curated record.